CCUACGGGUGACAGCAGUGAGGAAUAUUGGUCAAUGGGCGAGAGUCUGAACCAGCCACGUCGCGUGAGUGAUGACUGCCCUAUGGGUUUUAAACUUCUUUUAUAAGGGAGUAAAUUGUGGGACGUGUCGUAUUUUGUCUGUACCUUAAGAUUACGGAUCGGCUAACUCCGUGCCAGCAGCCGCGGUAAUACGGAGGGUCAGAGCGUUAUCCGGAUUUAUUGGGGUUAAAGGGUGCGUAGGCGGCUUUUUAAGUCAGCGGGGAAAGUCCGGGGCUCAACCACAGAACGGCCGUUGAAACUGGGGAGCUUGAGUGUGGUUGAGGGAAGCGGAAUGCGUGGUGUAGCGGUGAAAUGCUUAGAUAUCACGCAGAACACCGAGUGCGAAGGCAGCAUACUGGGCCAUGACUGACGCUGAUGCACGAAAGCGUGGGGAUCAAACAGGAUUAGAUACCCGGGUAGUC
Molecule: ribosomal RNA, 460 nt
Filed under: uncultured bacterium
Lineage: Bacteria
Description: partial 16S ribosomal RNA
Rfam family: Bacterial small subunit ribosomal RNA
Source: RNAcentral